UACGUAGGGGGCAAGCGUUGUCCGGAAUUAUUGGGCGUAAAGAGCGUGUAGGCGGCUAGAUAAGUCUGUUGUGAAAUCUCGAGGCUCAACUUCGAGCUGUCGGUGGAAACUAUCUGGCUAGAGUCCGGAAGAGGAGAAUGGAAUUCCUGGUGUAGCGGUGAAAUGCGCAGAUAUCAGGAAGAACACCCGUGGCGAAGGCGGUUCUCUGGGACGGUACUGACGCUGAGACGCGAAAGCGUGGGGAGCGAACAGG
This 253-nucleotide ribosomal RNA is filed under the name uncultured bacterium. Its description in RNAcentral is "partial 16S ribosomal RNA". It matches the Rfam family "Bacterial small subunit ribosomal RNA", at positions 524 to 776 of the family's 1533-position model. The record is from RNAcentral.